RNAcentral lists this non-coding RNA (239 nucleotides) under Heyndrickxia shackletonii. RNAcentral describes it as "Bacillus shackletonii T-box sequence". It matches the Rfam family "T-box leader". Rfam says of the family: Uncharged tRNA acts as the effector for transcription antitermination of genes in the T-box leader family. T-boxes are found upstream of many aminoacyl-tRNA synthetase genes and some amino acid biosynthetic genes usually in Gram-positive bacteria. The record is from RNAcentral. Lineage: Bacteria; Bacillati; Bacillota; Bacilli; Caryophanales; Bacillaceae.
UAAAAAGCAUUGAUUGGGAAGAGUACGAUUGUAGUCAACUUCAAGAGAGGGAAAUUGUUUGCUGAAAUAUUUCCUAAGUUUGACAGAUUGGAAGGUCGCCCAUGAGCAGCUUCAGUGAAACAUUGUAGUAAUUGAAGCCGGUGAAAAGCCGUUAUUCGUUUUAAGUGCCAGACAUUUAUUUUUUUAUGAAUGUCUGUGAAAAAAGGUGGUACCGCGAAUCCGCUCCCUUCGUCCUUUUG